Molecule: long non-coding RNA, 9810 nt
Filed under: Manihot esculenta (cassava)
Lineage: Eukaryota; Viridiplantae; Streptophyta; Magnoliopsida; Malpighiales; Euphorbiaceae
Description: long non-coding RNA (MESC_LNC003093)
Source: RNAcentral
ACCUGACUCUGCUGAAACCGCAGAGAAACUGCAGCCAUUUGCGUGCCAAGAAUGCAGUCCUUGAGAGAAGUCAUGGUUCGUUAUGACAUUGAUGGUAGUGUUGCCACUUGAACCAGAUAUGCCCUGGUCUAUUAUGGUCUUGCUGACAGUGUCACCUCUUGAACCAGCCAUCCCAUGGUCCGCUGUGAUGUUGAUGGUUUCGCUGCUACAGGAAGUAGCUAUGCCCUGGUCCGUUGUGGUCUUGAUGGUUCCGCUGCUACUUGAACUAGCUAUGCCCUGGUCCAUUAUAUUAAAGUUUGAGCAAGUUUGAAAUAUAUAUGUAAAAACAUGUAAAGAUUCUCCCAUAGAACAUUAAUAAUGAUAGAAGGAAAAAACUGUUUUGCACAGGAUCUAUAUUGACCUAUAAUGUAAAAUAGUAAUGAAAUUUACAUAAAAUUUCAUAAAUUUAUACUACAGACUCAUAUAGAUCUGAUAUAGAUAAGGAUUGUCUGUAAAAUUAGUUCAACUUACCUGAAUUGUUGGAUGAGGGGAGGAAUGUACUUUUUCAGCAUGCUUUAGAAAAAAGCCAUUGACAAGAAUAUCAGUGUCUGCAGGUGGACCUUCUAUAUAAAUUACUACCUUUUUAGGGUAAUUAUCUAGAAGGAACUUCCCCUUCAACUGUACCCACUUUUUAUCUGUUACCUCCAUACUAUACAUCCAAAAAGACAAUCAUCAUGAAAUCAAUUAAAAAAUAUAGUAAAAGAAAAUCUAGAUAAUUUAAUUUAGUUGAUGAAAAUGAAAGAAAUGAUAUAACUUAAUAAAACCUAAAACCUCAUAUUCCUAUAUGAUAUAGUUAUAAAAAUCUAUAUAAUCUAAAUAUAUAUAAAAACUAUAAAAUUAACUUUAAAAUAUAUUUUUCUAAACGUGAUAAGUGUCUUUCUAUUAGAUUUUUUUUUGUCUAUUUAUCUAUUUUGUCCAUAUCUUAUUACUUAAUAGAUAGCUUUUUAUAUUUUUUUUGAAAGUACGUGAGUUUUCAUUUUAAUAAUAAUAAUAAUAAAUAUGUAUAUAUUAAAUAAAAUUUAUUAGUAUUAUUAUUAUUAUUAUUCCUGAUUGACAAAUGAAUAACAAGUAAAAUUAAGAUGAAAAAGUAAUUAUUCUCUAUUUUAACAACAAAAAAAUAAUAUUUAUAACUUUCUCUUGUUAAGUUUGUAAUAAAAAAAUCGAUGAUGAUUUUUUUACUGUUAAUCUCUAAAGAAAAUAAUCUUUUAUGAUAUUUGAUUUAAUACAGAAAAUGAAGUUAAUUAUUAGCGUAUUAGUAUUAAUCUUAGUUAUGUUUAGUAUAAUAAAAUGAUAAAUAAAAGAAAUUGAGAGAUUAAAAUUUAACCCAGUCCAGAUAUUGCAGUAUAAGAGGUAGUGUAAUGAAUAUGCACUCAGUAGGUGAAUAUUAAUCUGGUGUAAAUUUUAACUCAAAAAAUCAACCAUAGCUAAAUGAGAUUAACUAUUUAUAGGAAUAAAAAUUUAAAAUUUCAAUUAUAAAAUACCAUAGAUCUCUUGGUUCUAUAAAUUUUAUUUAAAAAUUAUUAAUUAAAUUAAUUUUACUAAAUAAAUUCAUUUAAUAUAAAUUGAUAAUUAAAAAAAAAAAAUUACAUGUCACUUAAUUAAAAGAGACCAGUUAACCGCCAAAAUAGGCAAUUGAGACUAUUUUCUCAAAUCCUCUGUGAAUAGAGAAGUGCCGAUGGAGAAACUAAGAAGAUUAAGUCUAAGCUAUAGAAAGCUAUGUUAAAAUUGCAAGUUAUCCAUUCUACAGAAUCUUCAUCAAGUUUUAAGACUAUAAAAGUCAUUCUUUCUCAAAUCAAAGAGGGUUUUUUAAUCGAUUUAAGAAUAAACUUUUCAAAUUCUUAAAUCUCAUAAAUCAAAGAAAAAAAAUUAAAGUAUUGAAUUUCUUUAUUUCAAAUAAUUUAUUAUUGGAAAUUCAACUCACUUUUUUUAUUAAAUUAAUAUUUAUUCCCUAUUUUUUUAUUUUUUAAUUUCAGUUAUGAAAUUUAUGUGUACACUGUUACCUUCUUUGACCUUAUACUAAAUAUAUUAAUAGUUAUUUCAAUUAAAUAAGGUCUAAAAAUAUUCACACGAUGUGGGUAAGUGUCUAAUUCAUAAAUCCACAUGAAUAAAAGGUUGAAUUAAGAAAAUGCUAUUUGCAGAAAUCGAAGCUGAUAAAAAGAAUAUUAUGUAUGGAAAUUAUUAGAGGGAAAAAGAGCUAACUUGGCAAUGCCUAUGUAUUCUUCUCGGAGAUCUGUCGUUUGGACGCAUAAAGUAACUCGCACAUCAGCACUGCUAACAUUGUUGCCAAAGAUCCGAACCACAGCAAUGGCCUCAUAAGCUACCUUUGCCUGUACUUUUCCAGUUAUCUCCUGCUCUAUUCCGUUCCAGCUCUGGGUACGCUCAGUUGCACAUGCAAAAACUUUUCCAAACAGGGGGACAAUUUUUCCACAAGCCAAUGAUUCAUGUAAGACAAGCUUGCAGCCUCUUCCAGACCAUUUGUUCAGGCCAUCCUCAAAUUUAGGAUUUGCCAUGAUGUUCCCUUCUCCAUAUCCAGUGUCCACAAAUUGAUAAUUACUUGUUUCCUUUUGAUAGCUUGUUACCUUUUGAUAGCUUGUUUCCUUUCCAUAUCAAAAUGAAAAAUUUUUUACAAAUUUAUCAUCACAAAAAAGUACAAAUAAAAUUAAUAAAUAGGUUUAAGAAGAAAAAUUACAUAGAAUUCACUUGGAGGGGAGCUGGUAAUAACGACUGAUUGUACAAGCAAGUCCACUGCAGGAGAAGGGCCUUCCAAGUAAAAAAGGACACGAUCAGGCUUCUUUGGCAGGGAGAAUUUUCCUUCCAACUUUUCCCACCUUUCCUUUGACAGAGAAAUUCUGCAGGGAUAUAUAACUUACAUUAAGACAAUCUGUAUGUUUCAUUUAAGGAAGAAAUGCAAUAAAAUGAAGCAACAAAUCUAUUACCUUCCAAUGAACAAAUAGUCUGUUGGGGAAUUUCGAUAUUCCACUCUCAAAGUAGCUUGCACAUCAGUGGUUCCUUGAAUAUUUCCUGAUACACCAACAUAUGCAGUAACAUAAUAAGUGGAACCUGGAGAAACAAUGCUUGUGAUAUCUUGCUCCAAGCCCUGCCAACUUUCUGUUCGAUUCGAGACAACUGCAUAAUAACCACCUCGCUUUGUUAAGAAUGCUUUGUGACCUGACUCUGCUGAAACCACAGAGAAACUGCAGCCAUUUGCGUGCCAAGAAUGCUGUCCUUGAGAGAAGUCAUGGUUCGUUAUGACAUUGAUGGUAGUGUUGCCACUUGAACCAGAUAUGCCCUGGUCCAUUAUGGUCUUGAUGACAGUGUCACCUCUUGAACCAGCCAUCCCAUGGUCCGCUGUGAUAUUGAUGGUUUCGCUGCUACAGGAAGUAGCUAUGCCCUGGUCCGUUAUAUUAAAGUUUGAGCAAGUUUGAAAUAUAUAUGCAAGAACAUGUAAAGAUUCUCCCAUUGACUCAUAAUAUAAAAUAAUAAUGGAUCUACAUAAAAUUUCAUAAAUUUAUACUACAGAUCUAUGUAGACCUGAUAUAUAGAUAAGAAUUGUCUGUAAAAUUAGUUCAACUAACCUGAAUUGUUGGAUGAGGGGAGGAAGGUACUUUCUCGGCAUGCUUUAGAAAAAAACCAUUGAUAAGAAUAUCAGUGUCUGCAGGUGGACCUUCUAUAAAAAUCACUACCUUUUUAGGGUAAUUAUUUAAAAGGAACUUCCCCUUCAACUGUACCCACUCUUUAUCUGUUAUCUGCAUGCUAUAGAUCCAAAAAGACAAUCAUCUUGAAAUCAAUUCAAAAAUAUGAUAAAAGAAAAUCUAAAUAAUUUAAUUUAGUUUAUAAAAAUAAUAGAAAUGAUAUAAUUGAAUAAAACCUAAAAUCUCAUAUUCCUACGUGAUAUAGUAUAAAAAUCUAUAUAAUCUACUUCUAUAUAAAUAUUAUAAAAUUAAUUCUAAAACAUAUUUUUAUAAAACUGAUAAGUGUCUUUCUAUUAGAUUUUUUUUUCCUAGUCCAUAUCUUAUUAUUUAAUAGAUAGCUCUUUAUAUUUUUUGUUAAAGAACGUGACUUUUCAUUUUAAUAAUAAUAAUAAUAAUAAUAAUAAUAAUAAUAAUAAUAAUAAUAAUGUAUAUAUUAAAUAAAAUUUAUUAGUAUUAUUAUUAUUCCUAAUUGAUAUAUGACCUUCUAGUUUCUCAGUAUUAAACUAUUUUUUUGCCCAACUUUUGAUAUUUUUUAUAAUGAGGCGUUACUCUUAGCUGAUAACUAAUAUUUACGUAAAUAAAUUAUGCUGAUCUUAUUAAAUGUUUAGUCAUAUUUUUAUUAUUAAUUACCCAUUGACAUGAUUAUAAAAUAACUAUUUAAAUUUAAAUAUAUAUAAAUAUUAUAAUAAUAAGUCAACAUAAAAAUGAUUUAUAAUAAUAAUAUAAAGUAAGAUGACAAGUAAGAUGAAAAUUAGUUAAUAAAUUAUAAUAAUGAAUAUAAAAAGUUGUAAUCACAAUUAUAUAAAAAUGAAUGAAUACCAAGUAAAAUUAAUAUGAAAAAGUAAUUAUACUCUAUUUUAAUAAUAAAAAAGAAUAUUUAUAAAUAUAAAAUCAUUAUAACUCUCUCUUGUUAAGUUUUAAAAGUGAUAAUAAAAAUAUAUUUAAAAUAAUGAUAAAACUUUCACAAAUAUGCAUAAGGCCUAAAAGCAUCCGCCCAACAUAGGUAAGUGUAGUUCAUAAAUAAAGCCAUGUGAACAAAGGGUUGAAUUAAGAAAAUCCUGUUUGUAGAGAUUCAAGGUGAUAAAAGAAUAAUAUAUACGAAGAUUAUUAGAGGGAAAAAGAGCUAACUUGGCAAUGCCUAUGUAUUCUUCUCGGAGAUCUGUCGUUUGGACGCAUAAAGUAACUCGCACAUCAGCACUGCUGACAUUGUUGCCAAAGAUCCGAACCACAGCAAUGGCCUCAUAAGCUUGCUUUGCCUGUACUUUUCCAGUUAUCUCCUGCUCGAUUCCGUUCCAGCACUGUGUACGUUCAGUUGCACAUGCAAAUACUUUUCCAAACUGGGGAACAAUUUUCCCACAAGCCAAUGAUUCAUGUAAGACAAGCUUGCAGCCUCUUCCAGACCACUUGUUCAGGCCAUCCUCAAAUUUAGGAUUCGCCAUGAUGUUCCCUUCUCCAUAUCCAAUGUCCACAAAUUGAUAAUUACUUGUUUCCUUUUGAUAACUUGUUUCCUCUUGAUAGCUUGUUUCCUUUUGAUAGCUUGUUUCCUUUCCAUAUCAAAAUGAAAAAAUUUUUACAAAUUUAUCAUCACAAAAAAGUACAAAUAAAAUUAAUAAAUAGGUUUAAGAAGAAAAAUUACAUAGAAUUCACUUGGAGGGGAGCUGGAAAUAACGACUGAUUGUACAAGCAAGUCCACUGCAGGAGAAGGGCCUUCCAAGUAAAAAAGGACACGAUCAGGCUUCUUUGGCAGGGAGAAUUUUCCUUCCAACUUUUCCCACCUUUCCUUUGACAGAGAAAUUCUGCAGGGAUAAGUUCCAUUAAGACAAUCUGUAUGUUUCAUUUAACGAAGAAAUGCAAUAAAGUGAAGCAACAAAUCUAUUACCUUCCAAUGAACAAAUAGUCCGUUGGGGAAUUUCCAUAUUCCACUCUCAAAGUAGCUUGUACAUCAGUGGUUCCCUGAAUAUUUCCUGAUACACCAAUAUAUGCAGUAACAUAAUAAGUGGAACCUGGAGAAACAAUGCUUGAGAUAUCUUGCUCCAAGCCCUGCCAACUUUCUGUUCGAUUUGUGACAACUGCAUAAUAACCGCCCCGCUUUGUUAAGAAUGCUGGGUGACCUGACUCUGCGGAAACCACAGAGAAACUGCAGCCAUUUGCUUGCCAAGAAUGCUGUCCUUGAGAGAAGUCAUGGUUCGUUAUGACAUUGAUGGUGGUGUUGCCACUUGAACUAGAUAUGCCUUGGUCCAUUAUGGUCUUGAUAGCAGUGUCACCGUAUGAACCAACUGUGCUCUGGUCCAUUGUGAUAUUGAUGGCACCACUGCUACUUGUAGAAGACAUGCCAUGGUCCCUUCUGAUAUUGGCGAUAUCGCUGCUACUUGAACUAGCUUUGCCCUGAUCCAUUAUAUUAAAGUUUGAGCAAGUUCGAAAUAUCUAUGUAAAACCAUGUAAAAAUUCUUCAAUAAUAAUAAUAAUACAACAAAUUGAGCGGGUAAAUUUUAGCGGAGAAAACUCACUGCGUUAAAGAUGUAUUAAAAUUUAUUUAGAAAGAUUAAAAUUUCGUUAUUAAAUAUAAAGAAUCACGCUAAAAUUUUUAGUGUUAUAAUUUUUAAUUUAUAAUCAUGCAGUAGUGAAUUUGAAUUUUUAAUUUACAACGAUAUAAUAGUGAAUUUAAAUUUUAUUAUUAAAUAUUCUAGCGAUAAAUUUUAUUCUCAAUAAAAAAUUAAUUUUGUAUAACGUGAUAAUAAAGAAUAUAAUCUCUUUAUUAUUUAAACAAGACAAAAAUUUAAUAUUAAAGUUAAAUAAAAAAAUUGUUUACACUAAAUUUAUAUCGAACAAUAACGUAAAAUAAUAAUUAAAUUUACAUAAAAUUUUAUAAAUUUAUAUUAUAGAACGAUAUAGAUUUAAUGUAAAUUAAGAAUUGAUCGUAGAGUUAAUUCAACUAACCUGAAUUGUUGGAUGAGGGGAGGAAGUUACUUUCUCGGCAUGCUUUAAAAAAAAGCCAUUAACUAGAAUAUCAACAUCUGCAGGUGGACCUUCUAUGAAAAUCACCACCUUUUUAAGAUAACCAUUAAGAAGGAACCUCCCUUUGAGUUGUACCCACUCCUUAUCUGUUACUUGCCGACUACAAAUCCAAAAAAACAAUUAAAAAAUAUAGAAUUUGAUUUGAUUGAUGAAAAUAAUAGAGAUGAUAUAAAUGAAUAAAACCUAAAACCUCACAUUUCUACAUCAUAGGUAUAAAAAUCUAUAUAAUCUAUAUCUAUAUAAAUAUAAUAAAAUUCAAGUCUAAAAUAAUUUUUAUUAAAGGUGAUAAGUGUUUUUUUUUUUUUUUUUUUUUNNGGUUGGGGGAGUCGAAUCUUAGACCUUUCAAGGUUACAGGAUGCACUUUCCACCAGGCUAAGCCUUGGAGUGCGAUAAAUAUCUUUCUUUUAUUUUUUUUUUAGUCCAUUUCGCCCCAAGUGACUUUUCACUUUAACGAAAUAAAGUUAAUGAUGAUAUAUUCUUUACGGAAUAAUAAUUAAUUCCUAAAGGAAAUUUUUUUAUAAUAUUUGAUUAAUAUUGAAAAUGAGGGUAAUUAUUACUCUAUUAAUUUUUACUAUGAUAUAAUAAAAUAAUAAAUAAAAAAAUUGAAAGGUUGAAAUUUAACUUUUAAAUGUGAGAUUCACCUGUUAUGUUUCGGAAGAAAUUUUAAAAAUAUCGCAUCCAUAAUUUACGAUAAAUCGAAAUUGUAUAUAAUAAUUAGAAUGAAAUUAUUAAAUAAUUUAUAUUAACUAUUUUAAAUUAAAUAAAAAAUGAGUUCAAAAAUUAUUUAGAUCAGUUCGGAUCGAACUGUUUCGAUUAGUAUCAGAGCCACUUUAGAAAGGUCCAAUCUUGAUUUAACAAUUAUAUUCGAUUCAAUUAUGAUAUUCUCUCUCAAUAAUUUCAGAUCAGGAAUUUAAGACAAAUUGAAAUCGUAUUAAAUAGUUAGUAUGAAACUAUUAAAUAAUUUGAGUUAACCAUUUUAAAUCAAAUAAAAAAUAAAUUUAAAAAUUAUUUAAAUCAGUUUAAACCGAACUGAUUUAUAUAAUAUCAUUUCAGAUAUUGCGGUAGGAGAGUCUGUACAAUAAAUAUACACUCACUAAAUUGAUAUAUUAUCGUAGUGUAAAUUUUAAUUCAAAAAAUCGACCAUAACUAAAUGAGAUUAAUUAUUUGUAGGAAUAAAAAUUUAAAAUUCUAAUUAUAAAAUGCUAUAGGUAUUUGGGCGUACAAAUUUUAUUUAAUAAUUUUUAAUUAAAUUAAUUUUAUUAAAUAAACUCAUUUAACAUGAAUUGAUCAAUUAAAAAAAAUUACAUGUCACUUAACUAAAAGAAACAAAUUAACUAAUAAAAUAGGCAAUGGAGAUUCUCCUUUCAAAUCUCCUAUAAAUAGAGAGGCUCUGCCCCACAGAAAAACUAGGAAGAUCAAGUUUAAACUAUAAAAGCAAAGGUCUUCUUUAUCGAUUUAAGAACAAAAUUAGAACAAAAAUUUCAAAUUCUUGAAUAGCAUAAAUUAAAUGAUUGAAUUUUUUUAUUUUAAAAAAUUUAUUAUUGGAGUCCGAACUCAUUUUUUUUUAUUUAAUUGAUAUUUUUUAAUUUCAGUUAUGAAAUUUAUGCGUAUACUAUUACCUCCUUUGACUCUAUAGCAGAUGUAGUAGUGGAACUUUAGAUUUUCUAUCUUAUAUUAUUCCAACUAAGUCCUAAAAGCAUCCACCCAACAUAGAUAAGUGUAGUUCAUAAAUAAAGUCAUGUGAACAAAGGGCUGAAUUAAGAAAAUGCUGUUUGCAGUGAUUCAAGGUGAUGAAAGAAUAAUAUAUACGGAGAUUAUUAGAGGGAAAAAGAGCUAACUUGGCAAUGCCUAUGUAUUCUUCUCGGAGAUCUGUCGUUUGGACGCAUAAAGUAACUCGCACAUCAGCACUGCUGACAUUGUUGCCAAAGAUCCGAACGACAGCAAUGGCCUCAUAAGCUAGCUUUGCCUGUACUUUUCCAGUUAUCUCCUGCUCGAUUCCGUUCCAGCACUGUGUACGUUCAGUUGCACAUGCAAAUACUUUUCCAAACUGGGGAACAAUUUUCCCACAAGCCAAUGAUUCAUGUAAGACAAGCUUGCAGCCUCUUCCAGACCACUUGUUCAGGCCAUCCUCAAAUUUAGGAUUUGCCAUGAUGUUCCCUUCUCCAUAUCCAAUGUCCACAAAUUGAUAAUUACUUGUUUCCUUUUGAUAACUUGUUUCCUCUUGAUAGCUUGUUUCCAUUUGAUAGCUGGUUUCCUUUUGAUAGCUUGUUUCCUUUUGAUAGCUUGUUUCCUUUCCAUAUCAAAAUGAAAAUUUUUUUACAAAUUUAUCAUCACAAAAAAGUACAAAUAAAAUUAAUAAAUAGGUUUAAGAAGAAAAAUUACAUAGAAUUCACUUGGAGGGGAGCUGGUAAUAACAACUGAUUGUAUAAGCAAGUCCACUGCAGGAGAAGGACCUUCCAAGUAAAACACGACACGAUCAGGGUUCGUUGGGAGGGAGAAUUUUCCUUCCAACUUUUCCCACUUUUCCUUUGACAGAGAAAUUCUGCAGGGAUAAGUUCCAUUAAGACAAUCUGUAUGUUUCAUUUAAGGAAGAAAUGCAAUAAAGUGAAGCAACAAAUCUAUUACCUUCCAAUGAACAAAUAGUCCGUUGGGGAAUUUCGAUAUUCCACUCUCAAAGUAGCUUGUACAUCAGUGGUUCCCUGAAUAUUUCCUGAUACACCAACAUAUGCAGUAACAUAAUAAGUGGAACCUGGAGAAACAAUGCUUGUGAUAUCUUGCUCCAAGCCCUGCCAACUUUCUGUUCGAUUUGUGACAACUGCAUAAUGACCACCCCGCUUUGUUAAGAAUGCUGGGUGACCUGACUCUGCGGAAACCACAGAGAAAAUACAGCCAUUUGCGUGCCAAGAAUGCAGUCCUUGAGAGAAGUCAUGGUUCGAUAUGACAUUGAUGGUGGUGUUGCCACUUGAACCAGACAUGCCUUGGUCCAUUAUGGUCUUGAUUGCAGUGUCACCAUAUGAACCACCUGUGCUCUGAUCCAUUGUGAUAUGGAUGGCACCGCUGCUAC